CGGGGCUUGACAUUAUCUUGCCAGUCUAAGAAAUUAGAUCUUCUUCCUUUCGGGGAAGACAGGAUAACAGGUGGUGCAUGGUUGUCGUCAGCUCGUGUCGUGAGAUGUUGGGUUAAGUCCCACAACGAGCGCAACCCUUGUGCUUAGUUGCUAACUUGUUUUACAAGUGCACUCUAAGCAGACUGCCGCAGAUAAUGCGGAGGAAGGUGGGGAUGACGUCAAAUCAUCAUGCCCCUUACGUCCCGGGCUACACACGUGCUACAAUGGCCUGUACAGAGGGUAGCGAAAGAGCGAUCUUAAGCCAAUCCCAAAAAGCAGGUCCCAGUUCGGAUUGGAGGCUGCAACUCGCCUCUAUGAAGUAGGAAUCGCUAGUAAUCGCGGAUCAGCACGCCGCGGUGAAUACGUUCC
This 408-nucleotide ribosomal RNA is filed under the name uncultured bacterium. RNAcentral describes it as "bacterial SSU rRNA". It matches the Rfam family "Bacterial small subunit ribosomal RNA", at positions 975 to 1374 of the family's 1533-position model. The record is from RNAcentral.